This 3159-nucleotide ribosomal RNA is filed under the name Triticum aestivum (bread wheat). RNAcentral describes it as "partial small subunit ribosomal RNA". Lineage: Eukaryota; Viridiplantae; Streptophyta; Magnoliopsida; Poales; Poaceae. The record is from RNAcentral.
AUGCACAGCGGCCUCCUUGCUCGGCCCCCUCAGCUCGCCCCCUUCUCCGGCGCCGCGUCACCGCCAGCUGCUCUCCCCUGCCGUCGGACCCCAUGGGCGCGCCCGGGUCUAGGCGCGUCGACGCCGACGCCCCGGCGGCUGUGUCGCCGGAACCCCUGCGGCGCGGCGAAGACGGAGAGGCCCGACCGCCACGGCUUCCGCUUCGCCGCCGCCGGCCAGCUCUCCAGCUCCAGUCCACCCCAACGUGAGAAGCUGCAGGUUGCUGCGUCCACAUCGAAAGCCGCCGUGCAGCUACAAAAUGGUCUUUCACUUCAGAGCAGUCGAUACGUCAUCCCCGAAGAUGUUAGAGCGGCAGGGUUUCAGAUCGACGCCGAUGAACUGACAUCCAUGGUCGAAAGCCGUGACACUGAAAGGCUGACCGAGCACGGACAGUUAGGUGGGAUCGCGGACAAGCUAACGACAUCGUUGACCGAUGGGAUAAGCACGUGCGAGGACCUCUUGGUGCAGAGGCAGGAAAUUUAUGGAGUAAACAAGUUCGCUGAGAGCGAGCCUCGCAGCUUCUGGGAGUUUGUAUGGGAUGCACUGCAAGAUACUACUCUGAUAAUCCUUGCUGCCUGUGCUUUUGUCUCUUUGACUGUUGGCAUUGCCACGGAAGGCUGGCCGAACGGCUCCCAUGAUGGCAUCGGAAUCUUCGCGAGUAUCAUCCUGGUUGUUUCUGUUACCGCGACAAGUGACUACCAGCAGUCUUUGCAAUUCAGGGACCUGGACAAAGAGAAGAGGAAAAUUCUUGUUCAGGUUACAAGGGACGGGUUCAGGCAAAGGACAUUGAUAGAUGAUCUUCUUCCCGGUGACGUCGUCCAUCUAGCUGUUGGAGAUCAGGUUCCUGCAGAUGGUGUAUUUAUUUCCGGGUUUUCUCUGUUGUUGGAUGAGUCCAGUCUAACUGGAGAGAGUGAGCCUGUUGAUGUAAAUGAAGACAAGCCUUUUCUUUCAUCAGGGACCAAAGUCCUAGAUGGGUCUGGCCAAAUGCUGGUUACAGCGGUCGGGAUGCGGACACAAUGGGGAAAGCUAAUGGCUGCUCUCACUGAAGGUGGGAAUGAUGAAACUCCGCUUCAGGUUAAACUUAGUGGAGUUGCAAAUAUUAUUGGGAAAAUCGGCCUGUUUUUUGCUGUAUUAACUUUCGUUGUCCUCUCCCAAGAAUUAAUUGGCCAGAAAUAUCAUGAUGGGCUUCUUUUGAGCUGGUCAGGAGAUGAUGUUUUAGAGAUAUUGAAUCAUUUUGCUGUCGCGGUUACAAUUGUUGUCGUUGCUGUGCCUGAGGGGUUGCCAUUAGCAGUCACACUGAGCCUUGCCUAUGCAAUGGAGAAGAUGAUGAAUGAUAAGGCACUGGUCCGGCAGUUGGCUGCCUGCGAAACUAUGGGAUCAGCCACAGUCAUUUGCAGUGAUAAAACAGGAACACUAACAUCCAAUCGCAUGACUGUUGUGAAGGCCUGCAUCUGUGGGAAUACCGUGGAAGUUAACGGUCCGCUGGUUCCUUCUAGUUUGUCUUCAAAACUCCCAGAAGUUGCAGUAGAAACUCUUCUAGAAUCCAUACUCACCAACACUGGCGGUGAAGUCGUGAUUGACCAAGAUGGAAAGCAAGAUAUAAUAGGUACCCCUACUGAGACAGCUUUGUUGGAAUUUGCACUGUCAUUAGGUGGAAACUAUAAACGAAAACGGCAGGAAACUAAGAUUGUUAAAGUGGAGCCUUUUAAUUCAGUAAAAAAGAGGAUGACUGUUAUUCUCGAGCUUCCAGAAGGAGGAUACCGUGCACAUUGUAAGGGUGCUGCAGAAAUAGUAUUGGCUGCCUGUGAUAAGUUCAUAGACGGCAGCGGUAGUAUAGUUCCCCUUGAUGAGAAAACUGCCAACAUGCUCAAUGAUACCAUUGAAACCUUUUCGAGUGAAGCUCUUAGGACACUAUGCCUUGCCUACAGGGGAUUGGAAGAUGGCUCUACUCAAGAGGAAAUACCACUACAGGGAUACACCUUCAUUGGCAUUGUUGGUAUUAAAGAUCCUGUGCGUCCGGGUGUCAGGGAGUCUGUGGCAAGUUGCCGGUCUGCUGGCAUUGCGGUUAAAAUGGUUACAGGGGACAAUAUUAAUACAGCAAAGGCAAUUGCUUGUGAAUGUGGUAUACUUACUGAUGGCGGUCUUGCCAUUGAAGGUGCUGAGUUCAGAGAGAAAACACCUGAAGAACUCCUUGAGCUGAUUCCCAAAAUGCAGGUGCUAGCCCGAUCGUCGCCACUUGAUAAGCUUGCACUUGUGAAGCACUUGCGCACAACUUCCAAUGAAGUUGUUGCUGUGACUGGUGAUGGCACUAAUGAUGCACCUGCGCUGCGUGAGGCGGAUAUUGGACUUGCCAUGGGCGUUGCAGGGACUGAGGUGGCGAAAGAGAGCGCUGAUGUCGUGAUUCUGGAUGACAACUUCUCCACGAUUGUUACUGUUGCGAAAUGGGGACGCUCUGUUUACGUCAACAUCCAAAAGUUUGUGCAGUUCCAGUUGACUGUUAAUAUUGUUGCAUUACUGGUCAACUUCUCCUCUGCGUGCUUUACAGGAGAUGCGCCGCUGACAGCCGUUCAACUUCUUUGGGUCAACAUGAUCAUGGACACCCUAGGUGCGCUAGCACUUGCCACCGAACCACCUAACGAUAACUUGAUGGAGAAAGCACCAGUAGGAAGGACAGGGAAGUUCAUCACAAACGUGAUGUGGAGGAAUAUUCUGGGGCAGUCGUUGUACCAAUUCACCAUCAUCUGGUAUCUACAAAGUCAAGGGAGAUAUGUGUUUGGGCUUGAAGGCUCCAAGGCUGAUACUGUCCUAAAUACAAUCAUAUUCAACACCUUCGUCUUCUGCCAGGUGUUCAAUGAGGUCAGCUCAAGGGAGAUGGAGGAGAUCAAUGUUCUGAAGGGCAUGUUGGAGAACUCUAUUUUCGUGGGCGUUCUCACCGGCACUGUCGUCUUCCAGUUCAUCCUGGUCCAGUUCCUGGGCGACUUUGCCAACACCACCCCGCUGACCCAGCUCCAGUGGCUCGUCUGCAUCCUCUUUGGCUUCCUUGGAAUGCCCAUUGCCGCCAUGAUCAAGCUCAUUUCUGUAGAACCUCAUGAAGAACACGACGGUUAUGGAAAGUUGUAG